RNAcentral lists this ribosomal RNA (158 nucleotides) under Eurotiales sp. RNAcentral describes it as "5.8S ribosomal RNA". It matches the Rfam family "5.8S ribosomal RNA". From Rfam's summary of the family: 5.8S ribosomal RNA (5.8S rRNA) is a component of the large subunit of the eukaryotic ribosome. Lineage: Eukaryota; Fungi; Ascomycota; Eurotiomycetes; Eurotiales. The record is from RNAcentral.
AAACUUUCAACAACGGAUCUCUUGGUUCCGGCAUCGAUGAAGAACGCAGCGAAAUGCGAUAAGUAAUGUGAAUUGCAGAAUUCCGCGAAUCAUCGAAUCUUUGAACGCACAUUGCGCCCUCUGGUAUUCCGGAGGGCAUGCCUGUCCGAGCGUCAUUG